GUAAACUUCCCAAAAAAACGUGUAUGGUGUAAUGGUGUAUGGCAUAUGGUGCAAUGGUGUAAAGUGUAUGGUGCUAUGGUGUAUGGUGUAAGGAGAAUGGUGUAAUGGUGUAUGAGGAAUGGUGUGAUUGUGUAACGUGCGAUCGGGAAUGGUGUGAAUGAACGGUGUACAACAUUUCAUUGGUUGAAAACGAAGUUCUUUUUAUUUUAAUUUUC
RNAcentral lists this long non-coding RNA (215 nucleotides) under Mytilus galloprovincialis (Mediterranean mussel). The record is from RNAcentral. Lineage: Eukaryota; Metazoa; Mollusca; Bivalvia; Mytilida; Mytilidae.